Molecule: ribosomal RNA, 664 nt
Filed under: Suillus luteus
Lineage: Eukaryota; Fungi; Basidiomycota; Agaricomycetes; Boletales; Suillaceae
Description: eukaryotic LSU rRNA
Rfam family: 5.8S ribosomal RNA (bases 209-363)
Source: RNAcentral
GUGUCUGGGAUAUAUCCGGCGAGGGGAGGCGGAGAGUUGUAGCUGGCCUCUAGGGGCAUGUGCACGCUCUCUUCCGGACCUUUCGCCGUAUGGGCGCGGGGCGACCCGCGUCUUCAUAUACCUCUUCGUGUAGAAAGUCUUUGAAUGUUUUACCAUCAUCGAGUCGCGACUUCUAGGAGACGCGAUUCUUUGAGAAAAAAGUUAUCACAACUUUCAGCAACGGAUCUCUUGGCUCUCGCAUCGAUGAAGAACGCAGCGAAUCGCGAUAUGUAAUGUGAAUUGCAGAUCUACAGUGAAUCAUCGAAUCUUUGAACGCACCUUGCGCUCCUCGGUGUUCCGAGGAGCAUGCCUGUUUGAGUGUCAGUAAAUUCUCAACCCCUCUCGAUUUGCUUCGAGCGGGUGCUUGGAUGUUGGGGGCUGCCGGAGACACUGGACUCGUCCAGGACUCGGGCUCCUCUUAAAUGAAUCGGCUCGCGGUCGACUUUCGACUUUGCAUGACAAGGCCUUUGGCGUGAUAAUGAUCGCCGUUCGCCGAAGUGCAAGACAGAAUGGUCCCGUGCCUCUAAUGCGUCGACGCCUCUAGGGGCGUCUUCCUCAUUGACGUUUGACCUCAAAUCAGGUAGGACUACCCGCUGAACUUAAGCAUAUCAAAAGCCGGGAGGAA